This 92-nucleotide ribosomal RNA is filed under the name Erinaceus europaeus (western European hedgehog). Lineage: Eukaryota; Metazoa; Chordata; Mammalia; Eulipotyphla; Erinaceidae. The record is from RNAcentral.
GUCUAUGGCCAUACCACCCUGAACAUGCCCGAUCUCCUCUGAUCUUGGAAGAAAGCAGGAUAUGUACAUUGACUGUAUGUAGGAUAUAUACU